RNAcentral lists this ribosomal RNA (423 nucleotides) under uncultured bacterium. RNAcentral describes it as "bacterial SSU rRNA". It matches the Rfam family "Bacterial small subunit ribosomal RNA", at positions 358 to 773 of the family's 1533-position model. The record is from RNAcentral.
GGAAUAUUGCGCAAUGGGGGAAACCCUGACGCAGCAACGCCGCGUGCGCGAUGAAGGCUUUCGGGUUGUAAAGCGCUGUCGGGAGGGACGAAACGGCCCGAUUGAAUAGGUCGGGUUCUUGACGGUACCUCCAAAGGAAGCCCCGGCUCACUCCGUGCCAGCAGCCGCGGUAAUACGGAGGGGGCGAGCGUUGUUCGGAAUUAUUGGGCGUAAAGAGAACGUAGGCGGCGCGGUAAGUCCUGUGUGAAAGCCCUCGGCUCAACCGAGGACGUGCAUUGGAAACUGCCGUGCUUGAGUACGGGAGAGGAGAGUGGAAUUCCCGGUGUAGCGGUGAAAUGCGUAGAUAUCGGGAAGAACACCGGUGGCGAAAGCGGCUCUCUGGACCGUCACUGACGCUGAGGUGCGAAAGCUGGGGGAGCGAAC